Molecule: long non-coding RNA, 2519 nt
Filed under: Carassius auratus (goldfish)
Lineage: Eukaryota; Metazoa; Chordata; Actinopteri; Cypriniformes; Cyprinidae
Description: lncRNA (ENSCARG00000017143.1)
Source: RNAcentral
AUGUUACUCAUCUCUUCUGUUUUGAUAUUUGUCUUCAGCUACUGUGAAUCUAAUGGGAAUGUCAUCAAACCAAACCAGCUAUCUGUAGUUUUAGCUGAAGGAAGCAGCACCACUCUGUCCUGUUCAUAUGAUGGAUCAGCUUACAGUCUUCACUGGUAUCGACAGAAGCCUGGAUCAAAACCAGAGUUUCUGCUGCUGAUUGUGAGGUCUACUAAAACUGUAGUCCCAGCUUCUCCACCUCAUCCACAUAUGUCCACCAGACACCAUGAUAACAAAAGUGUGGAUCUGGAGAUCUUCUCUGCUGCUGUAUCAGACUCUGCAGUGUAUUACUGUGCCCUGGAGCCCACAGUGACAGGAAAACAUGCUACACCCUACAAAAACCUUCUCAUGCAUAUGUUUCAGAUGAUAUCUUUGAUUUCCUUUAUGCUGAUAAUAUAAUUUGGCAUUUAAACAUCUCACUGGCCAUUGGUAAUUACUGACCAUUAUCAGAUUGAAUUUUCCUCAAACACAAAAAAUAUAUAAUUAAGGACUAUAGCCAUAAUCAAUACAAAAAUUGACAAUUAAAUACCAACACACACACACACACAAAAAUCCAAUUGGUUCCUUUAAAUAAAGCUUAGAAUAAUUUCAAAAGAUGUUUAAGACACAUUUAUCUGUGAUAAAUUGCUAGAAUUGAUCAAAUAGGACAUUAUCAUAUUAAUAACUGUACAGGUGUAUUUAAAAUGUUUUAAAUAUCUUGCCUCAUUAAGAUUAUACAAGAGGUUUCCAGAGAGCUUAUCACCCACAGAAUUAUUUUAGAUUCUCAGUUAAGACCACACCUAUUAUUGAAUUCCUUUGAAAGUUACUACAAUGAUUUAUAGUUACCUUUGUAGAUAAGUCAUCUGUCAUCUGAUGUACAAUAACUUUGGUUGUAACUUUAGUAACAUCCAAAAAGAAUGAAAUACUUAUCCAGUGGUCACCACACACAUUCUACAUACUAGUCUCUCAGCUCAGAAACAUUUCAAAUCAAAUCAGAUUUACAGCAGAGAGCCCCAGUCAAGCAAGGCUUUUACCAGAAGGUGGAGCUCACAUUCAACUGAUUUCAGAACAGAGCACAUGCAAACUGAGUCAGUUAGGAGGAAACUGUUAGACCUGACUGACAGAACUUUUUAUCUAAUUGAUGAUGUUGCUCCUUGUUUUCGUGAUAUUUUGCUUUUGUAAGGGUGAAUAAAUGAUAAGAAUAAUUUAUGGAUUAAUGAUUUUUAUUGUGUAAAUAAACCAACUAUUUAUAUAGUCUCAAUAAGUCCAUUAAUUGAACUGAUUGAUUUUUUCAUGAUUAAACAGCAUGCAGCCACAUUUUUUAAAAAAUCUAGGUUUGUGUGGGAGGGGCUCAAGGUUUUGUCAGCUUCAGCAGAAUAACUUAUUGAGACAACACUGACUUUCCUUCAUUGAGAAGUCUGGACACAAACUACAGAAACAUGUUGCUCAUCUCUUCUGUUUUGAUUUUUAUCCUCAGUUACUGUGAGUACCGCUAGUCAUACACAUUUUACACCAUAUUCCAGAACAUAAAAACAUGCACAUGUUUUAAUUAAUUCUAAACAUAAAAUAACAUUCCAUUCCAUUGCUUAAUUAUUUAUCAUCUUUGCAGGUGAAUCUAAUGGAAAUGUCAUCAAACCAAGCCAGCUAUCUGUAGUUUUAGCUGAAGGAAGCAGCACCACUCUGUCCUGUUCAUAUGAUGGAUCAGCUUACAGUCUUCACUGGUAUCGACAGAAGCCUGGAUCAAAACCAGAGUUUCUGCUGCUGAUUGUUGAGUCUUCCAAGUAUGUCAACAAAGCUGACCAACCUCACCCACAUAUGUCCAUCAGACUCCAUGAUAACAAAAGUGUGGAUCUGGUGAUCUCCUCUGCUGCUGUAUCAGACUCUGCAGUGUAUUACUGUGCCCUGCAGCCCACAGUGACAGGAAAACCCUCUACACUGUACAAAAACUUGUUUCUUGCAUUUUUUAUAACAAUCAAUAGAUUUUAGCAUUCCCUCAUGCAGUAUCUCAUUAUUUUUCCUCCUUCCUGUCCUUACAAGGUGGUCUUUCUCUGAGAACUACUCUAGCCUACCCUUUUAGAAAAUGUUCUGCACGGUUUACUUAUUUACUGGUCAUUUAAAGCCACUUUUACAAGACAAAACACACUGUUAUUUACAAUAAAUCAAGUUACAUGAACCAGUACACCAUAGAAUGAACCCACACAUACUAGAAAAACAUUCCUUUAUGCAUGGAAAAAAUAGCAUGAAACCUAAUUAGCAUCAAAGUACAAAAAUCAAUUAAACAAAAAUAAAACAGUUCCUUCUAUGUCUACAGACAAGACAAAUUCCUGCAGAUUAGACGACUCUAUAACGACUAUAGACGACUAUAACUUUGCUAUGUGUUUUUAUUUUUUAUUUUUAUUUUUUUUGCACAGUAAACAUACAUUAGACUAUCAAUCGGAUCUCUCUGGACAGUGACAGCCUUUAUUACAUACUUCUUUAAUUAUUCAAUCUUAUACAAGUUA